Molecule: small nucleolar RNA, 73 nt
Filed under: Mytilus galloprovincialis (Mediterranean mussel)
Lineage: Eukaryota; Metazoa; Mollusca; Bivalvia; Mytilida; Mytilidae
Source: RNAcentral
AAUCUAUGAUGAAUAUACACUGACAAGCAUAUGUCUGAGUACUGCUAUGUUAGACACACCUACUUCUGAGAUG